Molecule: unclassified non-coding RNA, 248 nt
Filed under: Hevea brasiliensis (rubber tree)
Lineage: Eukaryota; Viridiplantae; Streptophyta; Magnoliopsida; Malpighiales; Euphorbiaceae
Source: RNAcentral
CUCAUUUCAGCCACCUCAGCAUUCCACAGGAGCAGAUACUGAUUCGAGCCAAGACCAUUUAUUGUCCUCACAAGAAUCAGAAUCAGAUUCUGAGGCCCAUUACCCUUCUUACCUAGCCCAACAAGUCCAAUCCUCACAUCCAGCUCACAGUCCAGACACCAUUCCAAUCCCCCUAGUUCCACUUCACAUCCUUCCUAGCAAAUAUGAACGACCCAUUAGUGUUAUUGGUUUUCUUGAUACCGGAGCGC